RNAcentral lists this ribosomal RNA (502 nucleotides) under Nalata setulosa. RNAcentral's name for it is "partial 28S ribosomal RNA". It matches the Rfam family "Eukaryotic large subunit ribosomal RNA", at positions 716 to 1103 of the family's 3401-position model. The record is from RNAcentral. Lineage: Eukaryota; Metazoa; Arthropoda; Insecta; Hemiptera; Reduviidae.
AUGAAAGUAAAGAGUAAGAUUUAUUAAGUUAGAAAUUUAUUUCUUUCUUAUAUAUUUCUCUUUAGGGGAGAUGGAAAUAAUUUGUACAAUUGAUAACUUUUUUUUUUUUUAAAUUGUUAUUGUUGUGCAAAAUUUAUUUCCCGCAUUCCCGGGGCGCUUGAUUCACGCUUUGCGUGUCAAUGCGCACCUAGAGCGUACACGCUGAUACCCGAAAGAUGGUGAACUAUGCCUGGCCAGGACGAAGCCAGGGGAAACCCUGGUGGAGGUCCGCAGCGAUUCUGACGUGCAAAUCGAUCGUCGGAGCUGGGUAUAGGGGCGAAAGACCAAUCGAACCAUCUAGUAGCUGGUUCCCUCUGAAGUUUCCCUCAGGAUAGCUUGCGCUCGGUUGAGAAGAGUCUCAUCCGGUAGAGCGAAUGAUUAGAGGCAUUGGGGUCGAAACGACCUCAACCUAUUCUCAAACUCCAAAUAGAUGAGACCCCCGGCUUUCUUAAAAAUGAAGCCG